GUUGGAGGGGCAAAGUAGCGUAGCAGGAUUGCAGGACGAAGUGUUGUGUAUAGCAGUGUACGAAAAACGCCUGUGAGGUAGGUUUGUGAGUGAACGUGCAUCGAAAUUGGAAUACCGAUUUCAACGACAGCUCAUCAUGGGAGGCAUAACUCAACGUCCAUGGACUCCUACUAAACGACGAGGCCCCAUUGCAGCCGAGUUCAGAGGACCAGGACCUGCAUGCGUAGCACUACCCUCAUACAUAGGAAAGAGAACAUCAGAAUCUAAGACGGAAAGAGCCCCAGCUUUCAGUUUUGGAGCGAGACAUAACGGAAAACUAGAAAGCAUAGGUCCAGGACCAGGUCAAUAUAAUGUUACAGGAUUGAGUGCAAAAGGGAAAGAUACGCCACCAGCUUUAAGCCUCCAUGGUAGACCCAAGGAACCCAAACCCGAGAAUUUCCCAGCUCCUGGAGACUACAAUCCUGACAAAGCUGAAAAAGUAAUUCACGAUAACGCACCAAAAUAUACUUUUGGCUUGAAAACCAAUGUUGAGAAGCCUUUAGGUACACCAGCACCAAACGUAUACGAUGUUCCAAAAGCAGAUAAACUAUUGCUAGAUAAAUCACCGAGAUAUAGUUUUGGGGUAAAACCAGACCUUGUGAAAUCCUUCGACACCCCUGCACCCAACGUUUACAAUGUUCCAACAGCAGAUAAGGUUUUACACGAAAACUCACCAAAAUUCAGCUUUGGAGCCAAGGUCCAAGUGGAAAAACCUUUGGAAACACCCGCCCCCAAUGUAUACAACAUUCCAUCGGCCGUUGGCGAAAAGUCCGGCCCUGCCUAUACGAUCUCGGGAAGGACAAAGGAACCAGUUGACGAACGUGUGAAGAAUCCUGCUCCAGGACAAUACAACUUAGUGAAUCCUGAAAAUUAUAAAACUCAUUCUCCUGCUUAUACUAUCAGUGGAAGAGUGAAUAUUCCAAGUAAUGACAAUAUUCCAGGACCAGGGGUGUACUCGCCAGAGAAGGUAAACUGUCAUCUGAGACACGCUCCAAGCCAUUCUUUCGGCAUAAGGCAUUCCCCGUAUCUAGGCACGCAGAAUUCGUGCCUUCGGAGAGAAAAAACGUCUCUUUUAUUUUAAGGACUACCUAACCUACUUCUAACUAAAAUAUGAAACUAACAUUUUUUUGUCAAUGGAAAAUAUGCAGGUUGAAAUUGAUAUUUCUCCAGCCCACAGCUUUGGAAUUAGACACUCUCCUUUUUCUGACCAUUAUUAGGAAGAAACAAGGAAAACGAUGACGAACUCGACUGCAUUCCUGUCUGCCAUCCAUGUGUGGAGUGCAGAACUUCCAUCAUUUCAACAAAAUUGUCUUUUACCGGUCAACUUUUUCCAUAGAUGAGAUUAACCACGCCAUAAUCAAAACUGACAAUGAAAGAUAGUUUUCCAAAUCAUUUCGUCCCCACAGAUAUUUGAAUAACUCAUGCAUUAUUUAUUCUAGACACUACUGACAUUCAAACUCCAGACAAAAAACUAAAGGUUUUUUCCUUAAGAAUUGCGUUGCCAAUUAUGCCAUACGAAUAGCUUGUAUUAAUCUCAAAACGCGGUUUUUAUAAUUGAAAUCACUUUUGUUUGUUGUAUAUUAACAUUUUUAUAUCAUGUUUUUCAAAUAAACUUUUUAUAUUAG
Molecule: unclassified non-coding RNA, 1664 nt
Filed under: Leptinotarsa decemlineata (Colorado potato beetle)
Lineage: Eukaryota; Metazoa; Arthropoda; Insecta; Coleoptera; Chrysomelidae
Description: outer dense fiber protein 3-like, transcript variant X1
Source: RNAcentral